UACGUAGGGUCCGAGCGUUGUCCGGAAUUAUUGGGCGUAAAGAGCUCGUAGGCGGUUUGUUGCGUCUGUUGUGAAAUCCCGAGGCUCAACCUCGGGCCUGCAGUGGGUACGGGCAGACUGGAGUGCGGUAGGGGAGAAUGGAAUUCCUGGUGUAGCGGUGGAAUGCGCAGAUAUCAGGAGGAACACCGGUGGCGAAGGCGGGUCUCUGGGCAGUAACUGACGCUGAGGAGCGAAAGCGUGGGGAGCGAACAGG
Molecule: ribosomal RNA, 253 nt
Filed under: uncultured bacterium
Lineage: Bacteria
Description: partial 16S ribosomal RNA
Rfam family: Bacterial small subunit ribosomal RNA
Source: RNAcentral